This 301-nucleotide ribosomal RNA is filed under the name uncultured bacterium. RNAcentral describes it as "partial 16S ribosomal RNA". It matches the Rfam family "Bacterial small subunit ribosomal RNA", at positions 509 to 807 of the family's 1533-position model. The record is from RNAcentral.
CAGUAGCCGCGGUAAUACGUAGGGUGCGAGCGUUAAUCGGAAUUACUGGGCGUAAAGCGUGCGCAGGCGGCUUUUUAAGUCGGAUGUGAAAUCCCCGAGCUCAACUUGGGAAUUGCAUUCGAUACUGGGAAGCUAGAGUAUGGGAGAGGAUGGUAGAAUUCCAGGUGUAGCGGUGAAAUGCGUAGAGAUCUGGAGGAAUACCGAUGGCGAAGGCAGCCAUCUGGCCUAAUACUGACGCUGAGGUACGAAAGCAUGGGGAGCAAACAGGAUUAGAUACCCCCGUAGUCCCUGUCUCUUAUAC